Molecule: ribosomal RNA, 252 nt
Filed under: uncultured Gardnerella sp.
Lineage: Bacteria; Bacillati; Actinomycetota; Actinomycetes; Bifidobacteriales; Bifidobacteriaceae
Description: partial 16S ribosomal RNA
Rfam family: Bacterial small subunit ribosomal RNA
Source: RNAcentral
GGGUAGAGUAAUGCGUGACCAACCUGUCCCAUGCUCCAGAAUAGCUCUUGGAAACGGGUGGUAAUGCUGGAUGCUCCAACUUGACGCAUGUCUUGUUGGGAAAGUGUUUAGUGGCAUGGGAUGGGGUCGCGUCCUAUCAGCUUGUAGGCGGGGUAAUGGCCCACCUAGGCUUCGACGGGUAGCCGGCCUGAGAGGGCGGACGGCCACAUUGGGACUGAGAUACGGCCCAGACUCCUACGGGAGGCAGCAGCU